GACGAACGCUGGCGGCGUGCUUAACACAUGCAAGUCGAACGGAAAGGCCCUGCUUUUGUGGGGUGCUCGAGUGGCGAACGGGUGAGUAACACGUGAGUAACCUGCCCUUGACUUUGGGAUAACUUCAGGAAACUGGGGCUAAUACCGGAUAGGAGCUCCUGCUGCAUGGUGGGGGUUGGAAAGUUUCGGCGGUUGGGGAUGGACUCGCGGCUUAUCAGCUUGUCGGUGGGGUAGUGGCUUACCAAGGCUUUGACGGGUAGCCGGCCUGAGAGGGUGACCGGCCACAUUGGGACUGAGAUACGGCACAGACUCCUACGGGAGGCAGCAGUGGGGAAUAUUGCACAAUGGGCGGAAGCCUGAUGCAGCAACGCCGCGUGCGGGAUGACGGCCUUCGGGUUGUAAACCGCUUUCGCCUGUGACGAAGCGUGAGUGACGGUAAUGGGUAAAGAAGCACCGGCUAACUACGUG
This 468-nucleotide ribosomal RNA is filed under the name uncultured bacterium. Its description in RNAcentral is "partial 16S ribosomal RNA". It matches the Rfam family "Bacterial small subunit ribosomal RNA", at positions 28 to 507 of the family's 1533-position model. The record is from RNAcentral.